AGGCGGAGUGCUUAAUGCGUUAGCUGCAGCACUAAGGGGCGGAAACCCCCUAACACUUAGCACUCAUCGUUUACGGCGUGGACUACCAGGGUAUCUAAUCCUGUUUGAUCCCCACGCUUUCGCACAUCAGCGUCAGUUACAGACCAGAAAGUCGCCUUCGCCACUGGUGUUCCUCCAUAUCUCUGCGCAUUUCACCGCUACACAUGGAAUUCCACUUUCCUCUUCUGUACUCAAGUUUCCCAGUUUCCAAUGACCCUCCACGGUUGAGCCGUGGGCUUUCACAUCAGACUUAAGAAACCGCCUACGCGCGCUUUACGCCCAAUAAUUCCGGAUAACGCUUGCCACCUACGUAUUACCGCGGCUGCUGGCACGUAGUUAGCCGUGGCUUUCUGAUUAGGUACCGUCAAGAUGUGCACAGUUACUUACACAUUUGUUCUUCCCUAAUAACAGAGUUUUACGAUCCGAAAACCUUCAUCACUCACGCGGCGUUGCUCCGUCAGACUUUCGUCCAUUGCGGAAGAUUCCCUACUGCUGCCUCCCGUAGAAGUCUGGACCGUGUCUCAGUUCCAGUGUGGCCGAUCACCCUCUCAGGUCGGCUACGUAUCGUUGCCUUGGUAAGCCGUUACCUUACCAACUAGCUAAUACGGCGCGGGUCCAUCUAUAAGUGAUAGCAAAACCAUCUUUUACUUUAGAACCAUGCGGUUCCAAAUGUUAUCCGGCAUUAGCUCCGGUUUCCGAAGUUAUUCCAGUCUUAUAG
RNAcentral lists this ribosomal RNA (757 nucleotides) under Staphylococcus sp. N200I. RNAcentral describes it as "partial 16S ribosomal RNA". The record is from RNAcentral. Lineage: Bacteria; Bacillati; Bacillota; Bacilli; Caryophanales; Staphylococcaceae.